GUGCUCACUUUGGCAGCACAUAUACUAAAAUUGGAACGAUACAGAGAUUAGCAUGACCCCUCUGCAAGGAUGACACACAAAUUUGUAAAGAAAAGCAAUAUAAUUUU
Meriones unguiculatus (Mongolian gerbil) is the source of this 107-nucleotide small nuclear RNA. The record is from Ensembl. NCBI's taxonomy places the organism in Eukaryota, Metazoa, Chordata, Mammalia, Rodentia, Muridae.